This 497-nucleotide ribosomal RNA is filed under the name uncultured bacterium. RNAcentral's name for it is "partial 16S ribosomal RNA". It matches the Rfam family "Bacterial small subunit ribosomal RNA", at positions 28 to 507 of the family's 1533-position model. The record is from RNAcentral.
GAUGAACGCUGGCGGCGUGCCUAAUACAUGCAAGUCGAGCGAACGGACGAGAAGCUUGCUUCUCUGAUGUUAGCGGCGGACGGGUGAGUAACACGUGGAUAACCUACCUAUAAGACUGGGAUAACUUCGGGAAACCGUAGCUAAUACCGGAUAAUAUUUUGAACCGCAUGGUUCAAAAGUGAAAGACGGUCUUGCUGUCACUUAUAGAUGGAUCCGGGCUGCAUGAGCUAGUUGGUAAGGUAACGGCUUACCAAGGCAACUAUGCAUAGCCGACCUGAGAGGGUGAUCGGCCACAUGGGAACUGAGACACGGUCAAGACUACUACGGGAGGCAGCAGUAGGGAAUCGUCCGCAAUGGGCGAAAGCCUGACGGAGCAACGCGGCGUGAGUGAUGAAGGUCUUCGGAGCGUAAAACUCUGUUAUUAGGGAAGAACAGAUGUGUAAGUAACUGUGCACAUCUUGACGGUACCUAAUCAGAAAGCCACGGCUAACUACGUG